RNAcentral lists this unclassified non-coding RNA (843 nucleotides) under soil metagenome. RNAcentral's name for it is "partial contains internal transcribed spacer 1, 5.8S ribosomal RNA, and internal transcribed spacer 2". The stretch from base 169 to 322 matches the Rfam family "5.8S ribosomal RNA". The record is from RNAcentral.
GUGAAUUAAACAUGCUUGGUGUCUUCGCUUCGGCAAGGCCCUUGCUUAAAUCACAUCCCAACACCUGUGAACUGUAAGACGUAUGAUGAGGUCUUUGGCCAAGUCAUCGCCUGCCCAUUUUUAACAAACAAUUAAUGUAACAAACGUAGUCUUAUUAUAACCUAAUAAAACUUUCAACAACGGAUCUCUUGGCUCUCGCAUCGAUGAAGAACGCAGCGAAAUGCGAUAAGUAAUGUGAAUUGCAGAAUUCAGUGAAUCAUCGAAUCUUUGAACGCACCUUGCGCUCUUUGGUAUUCCGAAGAGCAUGCCUGUUUGAGUGUCAUGAAAAUAUCAACCUUGACUUGGGUUUUGUGCUCUAGUCUUGGCUUGGAAUUGGGUGCUUGCCGCUUUUACGAGCGGCUCACCUUAAAUGUAUUAGCUGGAUCUGUCUUUGAGACUUGGUUUGACUUGGCGUAAUAAGUAUUUCGCUAAGGACAUUCUUCGGAGUGGCCUCGUUUCUAGGACGCUUGUCCGCUUUCCAAUACAAGUUCCACCUCGUGGACAUGACUUUUUUAUUAUCUGGCCUCAAAUCAGGUAGGACUACCCGCUGAACUUAAGCAUAUCAAUAAGCGGAGGAAUCGGCUACUUGGUCAUUUAGAGGAAGUAAAAGUCGUAACAAGGUUUCCGUAGGUGAACCUGCGGAAGGAUCAUUAGCGAGUAUGGCCCUCACGGGUCUAAUCCACCACAAACACCUUUGUGAACCAGUCAGGGGGACUCGGCCGUGAAAGCCCAGGCGAUUAGCGGAAGGGCCCUCCUUUGCAAACCCGUUUAGAAGUCUUGAAAGUACUUUUGUAUAAUCUAGUA